GAUGAAGAACGUAGCGAAAUGCGAUAAGUAAUGUGAAUUGCAGAAUUCAGUGAAUCAUCGAAUCCUUGAACGCACAUUGCGCCCGCCAGUAUUCUGGCGGGCAUGCCUGUUCGAGCGUCAUUUCAACCAUCAAGCCCCAGGCUUGUGUUGGGGACCUGCGGCUGCCGCAGGCCCUGAAAACCAGUGGCGGGCUCGCUGUCACACCGGGCGUAGUAGAUUUUAUCUCGCUCAGGGCGUGCUGCGGGUUCCGGCCGUUAAAAAGCCUUUUUUACCCAAGGUUGACCUCGGAUCAGGUAGGAAGACCCGCUGAACUUAAGCAUAUCAAUAAGCGGAGGA
RNAcentral lists this unclassified non-coding RNA (336 nucleotides) under soil metagenome. Its description in RNAcentral is "partial contains 5.8S ribosomal RNA, internal transcribed spacer 2, and large subunit ribosomal RNA". The stretch from base 1 to 120 matches the Rfam family "5.8S ribosomal RNA", at positions 35 to 154 of the family's 154-position model. The record is from RNAcentral.